RNAcentral lists this long non-coding RNA (1651 nucleotides) under Homo sapiens (human). RNAcentral's name for it is "HSALNT0346632". The record is from RNAcentral. Lineage: Eukaryota; Metazoa; Chordata; Mammalia; Primates; Hominidae.
UCCUUCCCCACCUAAAUUUAUCAGUCUCGUUCUCCCGGGCCUUUCUAGGCUAGGGUAAUAGGAUAAAUUAAUCCAUGAUAAAAUGCUAAUAAUCUUAUUUGUUUUGUAUUCCAAAUAAAUUGAAAAUCUGUGUUAAUAGGGUCCUUGAAAGCCUGAACUUAAAGGUUUAAGUAAAAUGGGAAUUUCAGGCCCAAAAAGAGGCAUUUGGGAGCAGGGUGUCCUGAGACGGUCUGCAGGUCCCACUCACGCAGUGGAGGUGGCAAGAGGAGGGCCUGUGUCUGAGCCUUGCCCAGUCUGUGCCCCAUAAAAAUUAAUCUACUCAACUUCUAGGGUGGGGAAUGUGUGGAAAUAAAAUGAAGCGGGAAUCUUUUGGGCCUUUACUCCACCCAGGCUGGCACCCCGAGGGAGCGUGCGUGCUCAGCCUCCCAGUAAUCCAGCUUUAGAGGGAAAAAGAAGGCUUUUCUCAGUGGAAAAACCUACCUGUGGCCGUAAUGAUUUAGUAGAUGCCAGUCUAACCUGAAAUAAUAAAUACCAUUAUGAUGUCACUGUCUCACUGCUCAUUUUUAGAGACUCUGGACCUUUCUUCCAAAAACACGAGCUUAUGAAUAGGACUCUGUGGUGCCUGACGUGUCGUUCAUGGGUCAGCACAGGCGUGGUAGCUGGGCUGCAGGACAGGCUUAGGAGACCCUCCCAGCAUGGAUGGCGGUAGCUCGUGGGCAAUCUUGCCCCUGAACUAACCCAGCUCAGACUUCAAGUGCCAGAUUGAUCUGAAACUCAGUCUCGCCUCAGCUAGCUGCAGAACAGCCUCCAGAGCCUGCCUGGACACAGUCUAGAAGGAAAAGUUCCCUCUGUCCCUGACUGCCUGGCACACCUUAAAAUCAUUUCAUUUUGCUUUCACCUCUCUUUUUCUGAAAGUCAAAACGUUACAUUCAUGUGUUUCAUGGAAAACAGCUAAGGAUAAAAUACAAAAGCCACACUUCUGUUACACAAUUUCCACUUUCAAAGAAACAUAUAUUUUGGAUCACAAGAACAGGAGGAGUGAAAAAUGCUGGAGAGAGAGGUGAAGAGAAAACAUCUAAUCGCAAAUAACAUUACCUAAGUGCAUUUAUCACUAUAAACUUCCCUCUUAGAACUGCUUCUGCUGUAUCCCGCGAGUUUUGGUGCGUUGUAUUUCCAUUGUUCAAGUGAAUGUGUCUCCCACCACGUCCCUUGGUAGACAGUGCUGCUCCCAGACCCCAGCUGAGAGGAGAUGGAACUGCGUCACUGGCUGCUUCACCAUCCACAGCCUGGACUGAGCUGGGUGGGCCUGCUACUGGAAGUACAGGUGGGCAUGGCUCUUCCCACAUCCCUGGCUUGGCAGAUGGUGCCAGUUGCAGGAUCAAGCUCUGCCCACCAUUGAGCAGCCCAGGCAUCAUGGAGCCUCAGUACUCUUCCUUCGGGCCACAUGGCGCACUCCUUGGCUAGACCAUUCGUCAACCGCACCCGAGGUUUUCUAAAGUUCCUAGAUUGAGACCAGACCUUCUCAAGGAUCUUCCAAUCUUAUCUGCCCCCAUUUCAGGGGCUCUCUUGCAUAAAUCAAGUAAUAAAUAAUGUGCAACCAGCUGCCCUCCUUCACCAAUUUGCAUGUGCCUCAGAAGUGCCACACCAUACA